CAAGUCGAGUGCGCGUUUCCGUAGCAAUACGGAAAUGGCGCACGGCGCACGGGUGCGUAACACGUGGGUUAAUCUGCCCUCUGAUGGGGAAUAACCCGCCGAAAGGCGGGCUAAUACCGCAUAACAUUCCUUGGACUCCGGUUCGAGGAUUCAAAGGCGUAAGUCGUCGGAGGUGGAGCCCGCGCACGAUUAGCUAGUUGGUGAGGUAAUGGCUCACCAAGGCUUUGAUCGUUAGCUGGUCUGAGAGGAUGGCCAGCCACACUGGAACUGAGACACGGUCCAGACUCCUACGGGAGGCAGCAGUGGGGAAUCUUGCACAAUGGGCGAAAGCCUGAUGCAGCGACGCCGCGUGGGGGAUGAAGCUUCUCGGAGUGUAAACCCCUUUCGACCGGGACGAAUACCUCGCAAGAGGGGUGACGGUACCGGUAUAAGAAGCCCCGGCUAACUACGUGCCAGCAGCCGCGGUAAGACGUAGGGGGCCAGCGUUGCUCGGAAUUACUGGGUGUAAAGGGUUCGUAGGCGGUGUGGCAAGUCGGGAGUGAAAUCUCUGGGCUCAACCCAGGGGCUGCUUCCGAAACUGCCGUGCUAGAGUGUGGGAGAGGCGCGUGGAAUUGCAGGUGUAGCGGUGAAAUGCGUAGAUAUCUGCAGGAACACCCGUGGCGAAAGCGGCGCGCUGGACCACUACUGACGCUGAGGAAUGAAAGCUAGGGGAGCAAACAGGAUUAGAUACCCUGGUAGUCCUAGCCCUAAACGAUCAGGACUUGGGGUGCCACCCGUUCGGGUGUCGUCCCGGAGCUAACGCGUUAAGUCCUGCACCUGGGGAGUACGGUCGCAAGACUGAAACUCAAA
This 849-nucleotide ribosomal RNA is filed under the name uncultured Acidobacteriota bacterium. RNAcentral's name for it is "bacterial SSU rRNA". It matches the Rfam family "Bacterial small subunit ribosomal RNA", at positions 58 to 905 of the family's 1533-position model. The record is from RNAcentral. Lineage: Bacteria; Pseudomonadati; Acidobacteriota.